This 495-nucleotide ribosomal RNA is filed under the name uncultured bacterium. RNAcentral describes it as "partial 16S ribosomal RNA". It matches the Rfam family "Bacterial small subunit ribosomal RNA", at positions 28 to 507 of the family's 1533-position model. The record is from RNAcentral.
GAUGAACGCUGGCGGCGUGCCUAAUACAUGCAAGUAGAACGCUGAAGGAGGAGCUUGCUCUUCUGGAUGAGUUGCGAACGGGUGAGUAACGCGUAUGUAACCUGCCUGGUAGCGGCGGAUAACUAUUGGAAACGAUAGCUAAUACCGCAUGACAACAGUUAUUGCAUGAUAACUGUUUAAAAGGGGCAACUGCUCCACUACCAGAUGGACCUGCGUUGUAUUAGCUAGUUGGUGAGGUAACGGCUCACCAAGGCGACGAUACAUAGCCGACCUGAGAGGGGGAUCGGCCACACUGGGACCGAGGAACGGCCCAGACUCCUAACGGAGGGAGCAGGAGGGAAACUUCGGCAAUGGACGGAAGUCUGAACGAGCAACGCCGGGGGAGGGAAGAAGGUUUUCGGAUCGGAAAGCUCUGUUGUAAGGGAAGAACGAGUGUGAGAGUGGAAAGCGCACACUGUGACGGUAUCUAACCAGAAAGGGACGGCUAACUACGUG